UGUUUUAUUCAGUAAUAUUAAGUUAGCUUAUUUUGCUUAGCUAUAUAAAUUAUGUUUUAUUUAUUUCAGGAUUGUGCAAGUAGAGGAGUCGAUUUAGCGUGCCAGUGAAGGCGUUUUGUUUGUUUGGGUGGCCAAUAUGAGGGCAUGAAAUGGCGUUUAAAUUAGGAGUGAUUG
RNAcentral lists this unclassified non-coding RNA (174 nucleotides) under Drosophila mojavensis. RNAcentral's name for it is "GI26341". Lineage: Eukaryota; Metazoa; Arthropoda; Insecta; Diptera; Drosophilidae. The record is from RNAcentral.